GUAGUCUCGCACAGAUGCAUAUCAAUAAGCGGAGGAAAAGAAACUAACAAGGAUUCCCCUAGUAACGGCGAGUGAAGCGGGAAGAGCUCAAAUUUGAAAUCUUAAAGGGUUUCCCUUUACGAAUUGUAGUUUAAAGAAGUGUUUUCUGUUGAGGUUUUGGUAAAUGUUCUUUGGAAUAGGACAUCAUAGAGGGUGAGAAUCCCGUAUUUGACCUUUACUUUCAACUUUGUGAUACACUUUCAAAGAGUCGGAUUGUUUGGGAAUGCAGUCCAAAAUGGGUGGUAAAUUUCAUCUAAAGCUAAAUAUUGGCGAGAGACCGAUAGCGAGCAAGUACCGUGAGGGAAAGAUGAAAAGAACUUUGAAAAGAGAGUUAAACAGUACGUGAAAUUGUCAAAAGGGAAGCGUUUGACACCAGUGUUGUUUUUCUGAAAAUCAAUUAAAGAACUGUUUAUGCUAAGUUGUUUAGACUUUAUCAGCUAUCCUGCUUAGUUUUGAGCUUUUCUUUAAUGCACUUUUCAGUUAACAAGUCAACAUCAAUUUCUUUUGCUGUAAAAAAGCUUGAGGAAGGUGGCUUGAGAUUCGUCUUAAGUGUUUAUAGCCUCUUGCCUAUGCAGUCGGAGAGAUUGAGGUCUGCAGCGUAGAUCCUUCGGGGCUAAAUGCAUUUGUGCUAAGUUAUAGCAUUUUAUAGACAACUUGUUGACUAUGAUUUGUCUUGUAGCUUACUCGCUUAUGUUAUUUUACCUACGCUUAGGAUGUUGACGCAUGAGAUAUACGC
Molecule: ribosomal RNA, 775 nt
Filed under: uncultured Neocallimastigales
Lineage: Eukaryota; Fungi; Neocallimastigomycota; Neocallimastigomycetes; Neocallimastigales
Description: partial large subunit ribosomal RNA
Rfam family: Eukaryotic large subunit ribosomal RNA
Source: RNAcentral